RNAcentral lists this unclassified non-coding RNA (338 nucleotides) under soil metagenome. Its description in RNAcentral is "partial contains 5.8S ribosomal RNA, internal transcribed spacer 2, and large subunit ribosomal RNA". The stretch from base 1 to 120 matches the Rfam family "5.8S ribosomal RNA", at positions 35 to 154 of the family's 154-position model. The record is from RNAcentral.
GAUGAAGAACGUAGCGAAAUGCGAUAAGUAAUGCGAAUUGCAGAAUUCCGUGAGUCAUCGAAUCUUUGAACGCACAUUGCGCCCUCUGGUAUUCUGGAGGGCAUGCCUGUCUGAGCGUCAUUGUCAACCCUCAAGCUCAGCUUGCUGUUGGGUCCCCGUCGUUGCUUUAACGGCGGACCCGAAAGGUAAUGGCAGAGUCCGUGAGACCCUAGACGCAGCGAGCUUCUAGCACGCGUCUGGACGUUUUUCGGGCUCGGUCUUAACUAGAUGAUAACUUCCGAUUGACCUCAGAUCAGGUAGGGAUACCCGCUGAACUUAAGCAUAUCAAUAGCGGAGGA